GAUGGAGAACGUAGCGAAAUGCGAUAAGUAGUGUGAAUUGCAGAAUUCAGUGAAUCAUCGAAUCUUUGAACGCACAUUGCGCCCCUUGGUAUUCCAUGGGGCAUGCCUGUUCGAGCGUCAUUUGUACCCUCAAGCUCUGCUUGGUGUUGGGUGUUUGUCUCGCGGUUCUGCGCAGACUCGCCUUAAAACAAUUGGCAGCCGGCUUGUUAGCCUGGAGCGCAGCACAUAUUGCGCCUCUUGCUAGCGACUGCCCGGCACCCAUCAAGCCCAUUUAUUUGCUCUUGACCUCGGAUCAGGUAGGGAUACCCGCUGAACUUAAGCAUAUCAAUAAGCGGAGGA
RNAcentral lists this unclassified non-coding RNA (339 nucleotides) under soil metagenome. Its description in RNAcentral is "partial contains 5.8S ribosomal RNA, internal transcribed spacer 2, and large subunit ribosomal RNA". The stretch from base 1 to 120 matches the Rfam family "5.8S ribosomal RNA", at positions 35 to 154 of the family's 154-position model. The record is from RNAcentral.